Molecule: ribosomal RNA, 382 nt
Filed under: uncultured eukaryote
Lineage: Eukaryota
Description: partial 18S ribosomal RNA
Rfam family: Eukaryotic small subunit ribosomal RNA
Source: RNAcentral
UGUAAGCGUAUACCAAAGUUGUUGCAGUUAAAACGCUCGUAGUCGGAAUUUGGCAGUUCCGGAUGUGUGCACGUCGUGUGCGCACUUCGCGGGGAUUGCUUUUGUGGUCUUGCGUAGGAUGAGGCACUUUUAUUAGUGAACGUCCUCACGCAACCACUUUUUACUGUGAGAAAAUCAGAGUGCUCAAAGCAGGCAUUUGCCGUGAAUGUAUUAGCAUGGAAUAAUAGAAUAGGACUUGGUUCUAUUUUGUUGGUUUGUUGGGACUGAGUAAUGAUUAAGAGGGACAGUUGGGGGCAUUUGUAUUUCGGUGCUAGAGGUGAAAUUCUUAGAUUACCGAAAGACAAACCGCUGCGAAAGCGUCUGCCAAGGAUGUUCUCAUUGA